CGGUAAAGAUGGCUAUGCGUCCUAUUAGCUAGAUGGUAAGGUAACGGCUUACCAUGGCAAUGAUAGGUAGGGGUCCUGAGAGGGGAGUCCCCNNNACUGGUACUGAGACACGGACCAGACUCCUACGGGAGGCAGCAGUGAGGAAUAUUGGUCAAUGGAGGCAACUCUGAACCAGCCAUGCCGNGUGCAGGAAGACUGCCUAUGGGUUGUAAACUGCUUUUAUACAGGAAGAAACACUCCCNNGUGAGGGAGCUUGACGGUACUGUAAGAAUAAGGA
RNAcentral lists this ribosomal RNA (277 nucleotides) under uncultured bacterium. RNAcentral describes it as "partial 16S ribosomal RNA". It matches the Rfam family "Bacterial small subunit ribosomal RNA", at positions 217 to 492 of the family's 1533-position model. The record is from RNAcentral.